GGCGAACGGGUGAGGAUCACGUGAGAAACCUGCCCCAGACUUUGGGAUAACAAUUGGAAACGAUUGCUAAUACCGAAUGACGUCGGAGAACCGCAUGGUUCACUGACGAAAGGAAAUCCGGUUUGGGAGGGUCUCGCGGCCUAUCAGCUUGUUGGUGGGGUAAUGGCCUACCAAGGCAACGACGGGUAGCUGGUCUGAGAGGAUGAUCAGCCACACUGGGACUGAGACACGGCCAGACUCCUACGGGAGGCAGCAGUGGGGAAUCUUGCGCAAUGGGCGAAAGCCUGACCCAGCGACGCCGCGUGCGGGAUGAAGGCCUUCGGGUUGUAAACCGCUUUCAGUAGGGAAGAAGCGAAAGUGACGGUACCUACAGAAGAAGCACCGGCUAACUAUGUGCCAGCAGCCGCGGUAAUACAUAGGGUGCAAGCGUUGUCCGGAAUUAUUGGGCGUAAAGAGCUCGUAGGUGGUUCGUUACGUCGGAUGUGAAAAUCUGGGGCUCAACCCCAGACCUGCAUCCGAUACGGGCGAGCUAGAGUUUGGUAGGGGAGACUGGAAUUCCUGGUGUAGCGGUGGAAUGCGCAGAUAUCAGGAGGAACACCAAUGGCNAAGGCAGGUCUCUGGGCCAAUACUGACACUGAGGAGCGAAAGCGUGGGGAGCGAACAGGAUUAGAUACCCUGGUAGUCCACGCCGUAAACGGUGGGCGCUAGUUGUGGGAACCUUCCACGGUUUCUGCGACGCAGCUAACGUAUUAAGCGCCCCGCCUGGGGAGUACGGUCGCAAGAUUAAAACUCAAAGGAAUUGACGGGGCCCCGCACAAGCAGCGGAGCAUGCGGCUUAAUUCGACGCAACGCGAAGAACCUUACCAAGGCUUGACAUAUACAGGAAUAUGGCAGAGAUGUCAUAGCGGUAAAACGUCUGUAUACAGGUGGUGCAUGGUUGUCGUCAGCUCGUGUCGUGAGAUGUUGGGUUAAGUCAGAUAACGAGCGCAACCCUCGUGCUUUGUUCGGGCUUACGCCCUGUCGAAGCAGACUGCUGGUGAGAAAUCAGAGGAAGGUGAGGAUGAUGUCAAGUCAGCAUGCCCCUUACGCCCUGGGCUACACACGUGCUACAAUGGCCAACACAAAGAGAUGCAAAGGGGCGACCCCAAGCCAACCUCAAAAAAUUGGUCUCAGUUCAGAUUGCAGGCUGAAACUCGCCUGCAUGAAGGUGGAAUCGCUAGUAAUCGCCGGUCAGCUAUACGGCGGUGAAUCCGUUCCCGGGCUUUGUACACACCGCCCGUCAAGUCAUGGGAG
RNAcentral lists this ribosomal RNA (1293 nucleotides) under uncultured bacterium. Its description in RNAcentral is "partial 16S ribosomal RNA". It matches the Rfam family "Bacterial small subunit ribosomal RNA", at positions 97 to 1410 of the family's 1533-position model. The record is from RNAcentral.